This 320-nucleotide ribosomal RNA is filed under the name uncultured eukaryote. RNAcentral describes it as "partial 18S ribosomal RNA". It matches the Rfam family "Eukaryotic small subunit ribosomal RNA", at positions 1470 to 1796 of the family's 1831-position model. The record is from RNAcentral.
CCCUUAGAUGUUCUGGGCUGCACGCGUGUUACAAUCGGGAGUACAACAAGAUUGCAAAUCCUAGUGGAUGAGUGGUUCUUCGAAAUUUUCUGAAGACUGGGAUGGUUGAUUGAAAUUAUUCAACUCGAACGAGGAAUUCCUUGUAAUUGUAAUUCAUUAUAUUGUAAUGAAUACGUCCCUGCCCUUUGUACACACCGCCCGUCGCUCCUACCGAUUGAACGAUCCGGUGAAUUAUUUGGAGUAGCUCUGGAAGUUGCAGAACUUCCUAUGUCACGAAAUUUUGUAAACCUUAUCGUUUAGAGGAAGGAAAAGUCGUAACA